This is a non-coding RNA of Myxozyma melibiosi, 72 nucleotides long. The record is from the annotation of a RefSeq genome assembly. Lineage: Eukaryota; Fungi; Ascomycota; Lipomycetes; Lipomycetales; Lipomycetaceae.
GCCUCUAUGGCCAAGCGGUAAGGCGCAGCACUUGUAAUGCUGAGAUCACUGGUUCAAAUCCGGUUGGAGGCA